RNAcentral lists this ribosomal RNA (253 nucleotides) under uncultured bacterium. RNAcentral describes it as "partial 16S ribosomal RNA". It matches the Rfam family "Bacterial small subunit ribosomal RNA", at positions 524 to 776 of the family's 1533-position model. The record is from RNAcentral.
UACGUAUGGAGCAAGCGUUAUCCGGAUUUACUGGGUGUAAAGGGAGCGCAGGCGGCUUUGCAAGUCUGAUGUGAGAGGCCGGGGCUCAACCCCGGGACUGCAUUGGAAACUGUAAAGCUAGAGUGCCGGAGAGGUAAGCGGAAUUCCUAGUGUAGCGGUGAAAUGCGUAGAUAUUAGGAGGAACACCAGUGGCGAAGGCGGCUUACUGGACGGCAACUGACGCUGAGGCUCGAAAGCGUGGGGAGCAAAUAGG